This 447-nucleotide ribosomal RNA is filed under the name uncultured bacterium. RNAcentral describes it as "partial 16S ribosomal RNA". It matches the Rfam family "Bacterial small subunit ribosomal RNA", at positions 329 to 793 of the family's 1533-position model. The record is from RNAcentral.
GGCCAGACUCCUACGGGAGGCAGCAGUGGGGGAUAUUGCACAAUGGGGGGAACCCUAAUGCAGCGACGCCGCGUGGGUGAAGAAGCGCCUCGGCGCGUAAAGCCCUGUCAGCAGGGAAGAAAAUGACGGUACCUGAAGAAGAAGCCCCGGCUAACUACGUGCCAGCAGCCGCGGUAAUACGUAGGGGGCAAGCGUUAUCCGGAUUUACUGGGUGUAAAGGGGGCGCAGACGGCGAUGCAAGCCAGGAGUGAAAGCCCGGGGCCCAACCCCGGGACUGCUCUUGGAACUGCGUGGCUGGAGUGCAGGAGGGGCAGGCGGAAUUCCUGGUGUAGCGGUGAAAUGCGUAGAUAUCAGGAGGAACACCGGUGGCGAAGGCGGCCUGCUGGACUGCGACUGACGUUGAGGCCCGAAAGCGUGGGGAGCAAACAGGAUUAGAUACCCCUGCAU